UUGGGACUAGCGAAACCUAAAGGCGAAAUGAAAGUGAAAGUCGGCCUCGCGCCGACCUAGGGAGGAUGGGUCGCGUCACGGCGCGACCCCGCACUCCCGGGGCGUCUCGUUCUCAUUGCGAGAAGAGGCGCACCAAGAGCGUACACGCUGGGACCCGAAAGAUGGUGAACUAUGCCUGGUCAGGACGAAGUCAGGGGAAACCCUGAUGGAGGUCCGAAGCGAUUCUGACGUGCAAAUCGAUCGUCGGAACUGGGUAUAGGGGCGAAAGACUAAUCGAACCAUCUAGUAGCUGGUUCCCUCCGAAGUUUCCCUCAGGAUAGCUGGCGCUCGCUUUUGCGAGUCUCAUCUGGUAAAGCGAAUGAUUAGAGGCAUUGGGGUCGAAACGGCCUCAACCUAUUCUCAAACUUUAAAUGGGUGAGAUCUCCGGCUUGCUUAAAACGUGAAGCCGCGAGAUCGGAUCAGAGUGCCAAGUGGGCCAUUUUUGGUAAGCAGAACUGGCGCUGUGGGAUGAACCAAACGCAGAGUUAAAGCUCCAAAAUCAACGCUUAUGGGAUACCAUGAAAGGCGUUGGUAACUUAAGACAGCAGGACGGUGGCCAUGGAA
This 603-nucleotide ribosomal RNA is filed under the name Platerodrilus maninjauensis. RNAcentral's name for it is "eukaryotic LSU rRNA". It matches the Rfam family "Eukaryotic large subunit ribosomal RNA", at positions 694 to 1259 of the family's 3401-position model. The record is from RNAcentral. Lineage: Eukaryota; Metazoa; Arthropoda; Insecta; Coleoptera; Lycidae.